GCCUCUCACCCUCAUGCUCUCGUCCUCGCCCUUGCCCUCACCCACGCACCCCCCACUUUCCUCGCCUUCGACCCCGUUGAGGUCGCACCGCGACUUUUUUUUCUUUUCUUUUCUUUUCUUUUCUUCUCUGACUCUCCUCCACCGUUUCCGACGACGACGCCUCUCUCGCCCUUUCCCGCCCUUCUCCUCCUCUCCCUCUCCCUCCUCCUCUGCCGCCUCCGACGACGAUGCAUCUUCGCCGACGCCGACGCCGACGUCGACGUCGACGCCGACACCGUGGAGGUCACUGCGGCGCUCCAGCCUCGGAGCGGGGGGUCCUUAGCGGCGUCGUCGCCGUCGCCGUGGCUGUUGGCAGAGAGGGUGACCAAAAAAAAUUAUAGAAGAAACAGAAAAAAAAAGAUAAAAAAUUAUAUAAAAAGGAGGAUGAAGAUGAAAUUGCAUCGUUAACUGCAAAAGAAAUUAU
This 463-nucleotide long non-coding RNA is filed under the name Ananas comosus (pineapple). RNAcentral describes it as "long non-coding RNA (ACOM_LNC041060)". The record is from RNAcentral. Lineage: Eukaryota; Viridiplantae; Streptophyta; Magnoliopsida; Poales; Bromeliaceae.